AAAUAUCGAUUUGGCCCCCAAACUUUAAUUUAACCCCAAACUUUAUAUAACUACACUAUUUCCCAUUUCUCAACUAUAAAUACCCCCUCAUUCUUUCAUUUUUAUUCACCAAUUCAUCAAUAUCUCUCAAUCUCUCUCAAGCUCUCUUUCAAUCUUUCUAGUGCAAGUGUUUAAUUCAUUGUUGCAAAUUCGUGAAAAAUUGUGAAGUUGUUGAAUUGAAGUUUUCAAGUGUUCAAGUUCAACUAUUUUCAAUUAUCAAGAAGUUGUUCGUCAAUCCGGUAAACUCG
This 287-nucleotide long non-coding RNA is filed under the name Nicotiana benthamiana. Its description in RNAcentral is "long non-coding RNA (NBEN_LNC028962)". The record is from RNAcentral. Lineage: Eukaryota; Viridiplantae; Streptophyta; Magnoliopsida; Solanales; Solanaceae.